RNAcentral lists this long non-coding RNA (1004 nucleotides) under Hordeum vulgare. Its description in RNAcentral is "long non-coding RNA (HVUL_LNC020322)". Lineage: Eukaryota; Viridiplantae; Streptophyta; Magnoliopsida; Poales; Poaceae. The record is from RNAcentral.
GACAUGGCCGCGACGGAUCAAACACCGCCGUCGCAGGGAUCGGACACCCCUAGCUCUGAUGCCAAUUGUCGUCGCCAAACCGAGCGAUGGAUCCAGAAGAUGAACACACACACACACACGCGAGAGAGAGACAGUCUUUUGCGCCGCCUGAAUAUUGCAGCUCUUUCUGUUCCUCUUGCUACUUCUGUUAUUCUGUUACAACGGAAGAUAUCCUAGCUAGCUAACUCCCGACGGGAUCGCUGUGAUCCGCGCAAGUCACGCCAUCCCACGACCACUUCACACCGCGACUGGUUCCUACCGGGAGAGAAACUAGGGAAGAAAGCAAAACGUGGUUCGGACGUGCGUGCAAGCACUCCUCCCACUACUACGUGUAUGCGCAGGUCACAUCCACCAUGCACAAGCCUUAUUUGAAAUAAGCAAACCAUAGAACGACCUGGACCCAAAGCAGCCGAGGGUCCAACUAGCUUAGCCUAACAUCCACGCAGAGGCAACGUGACAAUGAAACGGGAAAGGCAGAGGUGGAGAGAGGAUUUAUCCCCAGCUACCAAACGAUGAAAUAGAUAUAGAGAGACAGAGCGCAUCUAACGAUAAUUCAUUCUUCUCUGACGCCGAUUGCGGAUCAGCUAGGUAUCGAUUAGGGGAGUAAAACCGAUCUUUCAUUUCUCUAACCGAUUAUAAGGUACCGGUUAGAAAUGGCCUUAGUCACUAGACAGAGCUAGAUGUCGAGCUACUGCACCACCACAACUGGAUGGCGCCGCCGCAUGGGAGCAACGUUUUUUCGACCCACUUAUACGAGGACCAAGAUAUGCACCUUUGCCCCCACUCAGCUCAAAGUAUUUGCUCCCACUCAUUUAUUUUUCUAUCAUAUUAAAGUCUGUGUAUGUGAAAUAAACUCACUGUGACACUAUGCUCCCUAUUUUUAAAAAGUCUGAAUUUGAGUCAUUCGAUUUUGACCGAAUCAACAAUUUCUCAAAGCUCUGUCAUUUAGUUCUUUUUUACUAUAC